GAAAAGUGGGUCUGGACACAAGGUUAAAAUACUGGAAAAGAUCAUUUGGACACACAACCCAAGUCUUGCAGGCAAAAGUAAGGUGGUGGGAAAAGCAGCAGGUCGGCCUGCGAUAAAAACCUAGGGGACAGGAGUUCCCAUCAUGGCUCAGCGGUUAGCGAACCUGACUAGCAUCUAUGAGGCUGCGGGUUCGAUCCCUGGCCUGGCUCAGUGGGCUAAGGAUCCAGCGUUGCUGUGAGCUGUGGUGUAGGACAGAAAACCAUGGAAAAACUGCAGCAAGGAUAGGGAAGUGACAGGGACAUUUGGCAAAGGAGCAAGGUAAAAGGCAGCCCAAAGAGAGCGAACAGAUGUAGAGGCAGAGCCACAGACUGAAAGCUGGCAGGCUGAGUGUGCUCGGGGCAUGAGACAGGUCUCAACUCUCCUUGUUGUGAGUGAUCUUAGAGGGAACAGCAGUGAAGGCCCAUUCCGGCUUCCUUGGGAAAAUCCAGUAAACCAAGAGGUGGGGUUCCCUGAGCUUCCCCAGGCCCUCUCCCUGACUACUCAACGCAGGAUCAUUCUGGGGGAGAUCCCAGCAUGGACAACCCGGAGUGCUGAGGACACAGGACAAUGUCAAAUAAGACAAGGGUACACGAAAGAACUCUGAAAACCAUAAAGCACCUUAUAAAAAUGUGAAUCUCUCAGACAAAAAAAAAAAAAAGACAAAGACCAGAGUCACAAUCUGGAGUGAAGAAUAUUUGUCAAGUACAGAUAUAUAUAUACAUCCCAAAUCAAGAUGCCCCUAACUAGACAUUCUAGUAACUUGAGAAGACAUAUCGGUUGGUAUGUUAACUUUCCUGUCCAACACUUUUCGGCACUGAAAAACUCUACCUAAGGCAUAAUAGGGAGCUCCUGGUAAACUAUCCUACUGAUCUAUGAAAAUGGACAUCUGAAUCUAAUGUAUUUCCAAGGAGGUUUCUGACACAAUGCAGAUCUUAACUAAUUAGGUGAAUUCCAUUCAAUGCAAUCACUCAUUGAAUGACUUCCAAGUGCACCACCACCAGCCACCAUCA
RNAcentral lists this long non-coding RNA (1049 nucleotides) under Sus scrofa (pig). Its description in RNAcentral is "lncRNA (ENSSSCG00005031537.1)". Lineage: Eukaryota; Metazoa; Chordata; Mammalia; Artiodactyla; Suidae. The record is from RNAcentral.